GUUUUGAAGGGUUUUAGGGUUGGAGGGUUUUAGCUUUGGAGGGUUUUGAAGGGUUUUAGGGUUGGAGGGUUUUGAAGGGUUUUAGGGUUGGAGGGUUUUGAAGGGUUUUAGGGUUGGAGGGUUUUGAAGGGUUUUAGGGUUGGAGGGUUUUGAAGGGUUUUUAGAUUGGAGGGUUUUGAAGGGUUUUAGGGUUGGAGGGUUUUAGGGUUGGAGGGUUUUGAAGGGUUUUCAGAUUGGAGGGUUUUUGAAAGGUUUUAGGGUUGGAGGAUUUUAAACGGUUUUAGGGUUGGAGGGUUUUUGAGGAUUUUAGGGUUGGAGCAUUUUGGGUAGGAGGUUUAUUUAGGGUUUUUGGGGUGGGAGUGUUUUAGGGUUGGAGGGUUUUGGUGAGUUUUAGGGUUGGAGAGUUUUAGGGUUGGAGGAUUAUAAGGUUUUAAGCGUUGUGGUGUAGUGGUUUAUGUUCGUGUUAGUGUUGGGGUUCCAGGAGGUGUGGCUUCUCUUCUGCCUUUUGGCUGGUUUAAGACUAAAAACUGUUGCAUCCUGCGUCAUGAAGCGAUUUAUGACAACAAAAGUCACUUUUUGCUUCUGUCCCUCUCUGGCGUACUGGUUAGUGUUUGUGUUUUGGUUUGUGCAGGUUCUAACCCUUCUUUUAGCUGGCUUAAGAACAAACUACGCUGUUGAAUUGUGAAGUUUUUCAUAAAGUCCAAAAAACACAUUCACACCCAGGUACUGUUUAAAGCCAUCUGUGGUUAGUGUCAGAGUUGAGGUUCCAGAGGGUGUGGGUUCUCUUUUGCCUUUUGUCUGGUUUAGGACAUAAAAUUGAUGCAUCCUCAUGAAGUGAUCUAGGAAGUCCAACACACACUUGUUAUGUUUGUCCCUCUGUGGUGUAGUGGUCAGUGUCAGUGUUGGGGUUCCAAAAAGUGUGUUCUCUUCUGCCUUCUGGCUUGUUUAAGACUAAAAAUUGCUGUGUCCUCAUGAAAUGAUUUAUGAAGACAAAAGUCCAACACACAUGUGGGAGUUCUGUCCCUUGGUG
This is a long non-coding RNA of Ictalurus punctatus (channel catfish), 1030 nucleotides long. The record is from Ensembl. Lineage: Eukaryota; Metazoa; Chordata; Actinopteri; Siluriformes; Ictaluridae.